Molecule: ribosomal RNA, 448 nt
Filed under: uncultured bacterium
Lineage: Bacteria
Description: bacterial SSU rRNA
Rfam family: Bacterial small subunit ribosomal RNA
Source: RNAcentral
UCCAGACUCCUACGGGAGGCAGCAGUGGGGAAUAUUGCACAAUGGGGGAAACCCUGAUGCAGCGACGCCGCGUGAGUGAAGAAGUAUUUCGGUAUGUAAAGCUCUAUCAGCAGGGAAGAAAAUGACGGUACCUGACUAAGAAGCCCCGGCUAACUACGUGCCAGCAGCCGCGGUAAUACGUAGGGGGCAAGCGUUAUCCGGAUUUACUGGGUGUAAAGGGAGCGUAGACGGCAGCGCAAGUCUGGAGUGAAAUGCCGGGGCCCAACCCCGGAACUGCUCUGGAAACUGUGAAGCUGGAGUGCAGGAGAGGUAAGCGGAAUUCCUGGUGUAGCGGUGAAAUGCGUAGAUAUCAGAAGGAACACCGGCGGCGAAGGCGGCUUACUGGACUGUAACUGACGUUGAGGCUCGAAGGCGUGGGGAGCAAACAGGAUUAGAUACCCUAGUAAUG